Molecule: unclassified non-coding RNA, 367 nt
Filed under: Hevea brasiliensis (rubber tree)
Lineage: Eukaryota; Viridiplantae; Streptophyta; Magnoliopsida; Malpighiales; Euphorbiaceae
Source: RNAcentral
AAAUCCUCGUUCGCUAUCACCACCAUUUUCUUGCUUCUUUUGGUUGCCAAUGGCAUCAAUGCAAGAAAAGAUGUGGGUGAAUAUUGGAAAGGUGCAAUGAAACCCACAACUGAAAAUUUUGAUGAGCACAAGAAACAGAAGAAUUUUGUGGUAGAUUUUGAGCCAAUAUCUAAUUUAUGGGUUUACAAUGAUGAUGCUCUUCUUAAAGAAAAGAAGUCAUUUGCAUUUGUUAAAGACUUUGAGCCAAGCCCUAACUUAUCAAUAUAUGAUAAAGAUGAUGAUCUUAAGGACCAGAAGAAGUCAUUUGCUAAUGAUUUCGAACCCAGGCCAAAUGUUUCAAUUUACAAUGAGUAAAAUUCUUCCCGAG